RNAcentral lists this unclassified non-coding RNA (405 nucleotides) under soil metagenome. RNAcentral's name for it is "partial contains 5.8S ribosomal RNA, internal transcribed spacer 2, and large subunit ribosomal RNA". The stretch from base 1 to 121 matches the Rfam family "5.8S ribosomal RNA", at positions 35 to 154 of the family's 154-position model. The record is from RNAcentral.
GAUGAAGAACGUAGCGAAAUGCGAUAAGUAAUGUGAAUUGCAGAAUUCAGUGAAUCAUCGAAUCUUUGAACGCACCUUGCGCCCUUUGGCCAUUCCGAAGGGCAUGCCUGUUUGAGUAUCAUGAACACCUCAACUCUUUAUGGUUUUCCAUGAUGAGCUUGGACUCUGGGGGUUUUGCUGGCUCACAGUCGGCUCCUCUAAAAUGAAUCAGCUUACCAGUGUUUGGUGGGUAUCAUGGGUGUGAUAACUAUCUACGCUUGUGGUUUUUCCAUCAGGUAACCUUCAGCAGUGGAGGUUCGCUGGAGCUCAUAGAUGUCUCUCCUCAGUGAGGACAGCCCUUUGAAUGUUUGAUCUCAAAUCAGGUAGGACUACCCGCUGAACUUAAGCAUAUCAAUAAGCGGAGGA